Molecule: ribosomal RNA, 484 nt
Filed under: uncultured bacterium
Lineage: Bacteria
Description: partial 16S ribosomal RNA
Rfam family: Bacterial small subunit ribosomal RNA
Source: RNAcentral
AGUGAACGCUGGCGGCGUGCUUAACACAUGCAAGUCGAACGAGAACGGAUUAUAGCUUGCUAUAAUUGUCAGCUAAGUGGCGCACGGGUGAGUAAUGUAUAGGUAAUAUGCCUUUUACUAAGGAAUAACAAAUGGAAACGUUUGCUAAUACCUUAUACUCCUUAUUAACCUAAGUUAAUAAGGGAAAGAUUUAUUGGUAAGAGAUUAGCCUGUAUUGUAUCAGUUAGUUGGUGGGGUAAUAGCUUACCAAGACUAUGACACAUAACUGGUUUGAGAGGAUGAUCAGUCACACUGGAACUGAGAAACGGUCCAGACUCCUACGGGAGGCAGCAGUGGGGAAUAUUGCACAAUGGACGGAAGUCUGAUGCAGCAACGCCGCGUGGAGGAUGACACAUUUCGGUGCGUAAACUCCUUUUAUAUGAGAAGAUAAUGACGAUAUUAUAUGAAUAAGCACCGGCUAGCUCCGUGCCAGCCGCCGCCGUAA